CGGCCUACCAAGGCGGCAACGGGUACCGGGCGCGAGAGCGUGACCCGGCACAUCGGAACUGAGACACGGUCCGGACACCUACGGGUGGCUGCAGCAACGAAUAUUCCGCAAUGGACGAAAGUCUGACGGAGCGACGCCGCGUGCAGGAAGAAGUCCCUCGGGAUGUAAACUGCUGUCAGGGGUUAGGAAUACUGACCAGCCCCAGAGGAAGCACUGGCUAACUCCGUGCCAGCAGCCGCGGUAAUACGGAGAGUGCGAGCGUUGUUCGGAAUUAUUGGGCUUAAAGGGCGUGUAGGCGGAAUGCCAGGUGCUGUGUGAAAGCCCCGGGCUCGACCCGGGAAUUGCAUAGCAAACCGGCAUUCUUGAGGCAGGUAGAGGUGACUGGAACGACUGGUGGAGCGGUGAAAUGCGUAGAUAUCAGUUGGAACGCCAGCGGCGAAAGCGGGUCACUGGGCCUGUCCUGACGCUGAGACGCGAAAGCGUGGGGAGCGAACAGGAUUAGAUACCCUGGUAGUCCACGCCGUAAACGAUGCGCACUAGGUAUGAGAGGUUUUGACGCCGAUUGUGCCGAAGCAAAAGUGGUAAGUGCGCCGCCUGGGGAGUACGGCCGCAAGGCUAAAACUCAAAGGAAUUGACGGGGGCUCACACAAGCGGUGGAGCAUGUGGAUUAAUUCGACGCGAAGAACCUUACCUGGGUUUGACAUGCACGGAUGCCCUCUUGGAGACAGGAGUAAGCUGCCUUCGGGUGAAACGUGCACAGGUGCUGCACGGCUGUCGUCAGCUCGUGCUGUGAAGUGUCGGGUUAAGUCCCUUAACGAGCGAAACCCCUAUCGUUAGUUGCCAGCGGGUUAUGCCGGGAACUCUAGCGAGACCGCCGACGUCAAGUCGGAGGAAGGUGGGGACGACGUCAAGUCAUCAUGGCCCUUAUGCCCAGGGUGUCGCACGUGCUACAAUGGCCAAUACAGAGCGACGCGAGACCGCGAGGUGGAGCAAAUCGCAGAAAGUUGGCCCCAGUUCGGAUUGGAGUCUGCAACUCGACUCCAUGAAGUCGGAAUCGCUAGUAAUCGCGCAUCAGCCAUGGCGCGGUGAAUAUGUUCCUGAGCCUUGUACACACCGCCCGUCAAGUCAUGGAAGUUGGGAGUACCCGAAGUCCGUUUGUUAACCCGUAAGGGAGGCGGCGGCCGACGGUAAGCUCGAUGACUGGGACUAAGUCGUAACAAGGUA
RNAcentral lists this ribosomal RNA (1224 nucleotides) under metagenome. Its description in RNAcentral is "bacterial SSU rRNA". It matches the Rfam family "Bacterial small subunit ribosomal RNA", at positions 261 to 1498 of the family's 1533-position model. The record is from RNAcentral.